UAGCUAGUUGGUGGGGUAAAGGCCUACCAAGGCGACGAUCGGUAGCUGUUCUGAGAGGAAGAUCAGCCACACUGGGACUGAGACACGGCCCAGACUCCUACGGGAGGCAGCAGUGGGGAAUAUUGGACAAUGGGGGGAACCCUGAUCCAGCGAUGCCGCGUGUGUGAAGAAGGCCUGAGGGUUGUAAAGCACUAUCAGCGGGGAGGAGGGUUGAUUGGUUAAGAGCUGAUUGAUUGGACGUUACCCGCAGAAGAAGCACCGGCUAACUCCGUGCCAGCAGCCGCGGUAAUACGGAGGGUGCGAGCGUUAAUCGGAAUUACUGGGCGUAAAGGGUGCGUAGGUGGUUGUAUAAGUUGUCUGCGAAAUCCCUGGGCUCAACCUGGGCAGGUCAGAUAAAACUGUACGACUCGAGUAUAGGAGAGGGUAGUGGAAUUUCCGGUGUAGCGGUGAAAUGCGUAGAGAUCGGAAGGAACACCAGUGGCGAAGGCGGCUACCUGGCCUGAUACUGACACUGAGGAACGAAAGCGUGGGGAGCAAACAGGAUUAGAUACCCCGGUAGUCCACGCUGUAAACGAUGUCAACUAGUUGUUGGCCAUAUGAAGAUGGUUAGUGACGG
This 616-nucleotide ribosomal RNA is filed under the name uncultured Legionella sp. Its description in RNAcentral is "bacterial SSU rRNA". It matches the Rfam family "Bacterial small subunit ribosomal RNA", at positions 242 to 849 of the family's 1533-position model. The record is from RNAcentral. Lineage: Bacteria; Pseudomonadati; Pseudomonadota; Gammaproteobacteria; Legionellales; Legionellaceae.